Molecule: ribosomal RNA, 467 nt
Filed under: uncultured bacterium
Lineage: Bacteria
Description: bacterial SSU rRNA
Rfam family: Bacterial small subunit ribosomal RNA
Source: RNAcentral
AUUGAACGCUGGCGGAACGCUUUACACAUGCAAGUCGAACGGUAACGUGGGGAGGAGCUUGCUCCACCCCGACGACGAGUGGCGAACGGGUGAGUAAUACAUCGGAACGUGUCCGCUUGUGGGGGACAACCAGCCGAAAGGUUGGCUAAUACCGCAUGAGUUCUACGGAAGAAAGAGGGGGACCCGCAAGGGCCUCUCGCGAGCGGAGCGGCCGAUGACUGAUUAGCCGGUUGGUGAGGUAACGGCUCACCAAAGCAACGAUCAGUAGCUGGUCUGAGAGGACGACCAGCCACACUGGGACUGAGACACGGCCCAGACUCCUACGGGAGGCAGCAGUGGGGAAUUUUGGACAAUGGGCGCAAGCCUGAUCCAGCUAUUCCGCGUGUGGGAUGAAGGCCCUCGGGUUGUAAACCACUUUUGUAGAGAACGAAAAGACAUCUUCGAAUAAAGGAUGUUGCUGACGGUAC